This 30-nucleotide non-coding RNA is filed under the name Mus musculus (house mouse). Lineage: Eukaryota; Metazoa; Chordata; Mammalia; Rodentia; Muridae. The record is from RNAcentral.
UGGUGGUUCCCUGAUGAAUAGCAAAGCUAG